UCGAUCCCUGCACGGCAGAACGACCCGCGAACACGUUAACAUUAAGGGGAACGGAGGACCCUAGGGCCCAACGUCCCCCACCCGGUCGGCGGCUAAGGCUACGCCCGCGUCCCGACUUACAACUCACCCCGGCGCGGCACGCGCCAAGGAAACUAAAUGGAAUGAUGCGGUUCUGACGUCCCGUUCGCGGGGUGCGCCAGGACGCGGCGUCUUCUUAUGUAUCUUAAACGACUCUCGGCAACGGAUAUCUCGGCUCUCGCAUCGAUGAAGAACGUAGCGAAAUGCGAUACUUGGUGUGAAUUGCAGAAUCCCGUGAACCAUCGAGUUUUUGAACGCAAGUUGCGCCCGAAGCCAUUAGGCCGAGGGCACGCCUGCCUGGGCGUCACGCGCUCUGUCGCUCCUCCUGCCACCGAAUGCCGUNUCGGCACUUCNCGGCACGANGGNGCGGAGAUUGGUCUCCCGUGCGCUGUCGCUCGCGGUUGGCCUAAAAANGAGUCCAAGGCGUGCGCGCCGCGGUCGACGGUGGUUGAGAAGCCUUCGACAAACAGCCGCGGCUGCGCUGCCUCGAAACGGACCCUACGACCCGCGCGCGUCUCCCUCUUCUUCCUCGUGGGUCGGGGUAGGUCGCUCCAUCCUGCGACCCCAGGUCAGGC
This 653-nucleotide unclassified non-coding RNA is filed under the name Pelargonium graveolens (rose geranium). RNAcentral's name for it is "sequence contains ITS1, 5.8S rRNA gene, ITS2". The stretch from base 230 to 385 matches the Rfam family "5.8S ribosomal RNA". The record is from RNAcentral. Lineage: Eukaryota; Viridiplantae; Streptophyta; Magnoliopsida; Geraniales; Geraniaceae.